Molecule: ribosomal RNA, 540 nt
Filed under: uncultured Acaulosporaceae
Lineage: Eukaryota; Fungi; Glomeromycota; Glomeromycetes; Diversisporales; Acaulosporaceae
Description: SSU rRNA
Rfam family: Eukaryotic small subunit ribosomal RNA
Source: RNAcentral
UUGGAGGGCAAGUCUGGUGCCAGCAGCCGCGGUAAUUCCAGCUCCAAUAGCGUAUAUUAAAGUUGUUGCAGUUAAAAAGCUCGUAGUUGAAUUUCGGGAUCUGUCCAUUGGUCGGGCUUCACGGUCCGUACUGGUGAGGUGGGUUCCUACCUUCUGAAUAACCAGCAUGCCAUUUAGUUGGUGCGUUGGGGAAGCAGAGCUAUUACCUUGAAAAAAUUAGAGUGCUUAAAGCAGGCUAGUGCUUGAAUAGAUUAGCAUGGAAUAAUAAAAUAGGACGGCAUGGUUCUAUUUUGUUGGUUUCUAGGAUCACCGUAAUGAUUAAUAGGGAUAGUUGGGGGCAUUAGUAUUCAAUUGUCAGAGGUGAAAUUCUUGGAUUUAUUGAAGACUAACUUCUGCGAAAGCAUUUGCCAAGGAUGUUUUCAUUAAUCAAGAACGAAAGUUAGGGGAUCGAAGACGAUCAGAUACCGUCGUAGUCUUAACCAUAAACUAUGCCGACUAGGGAUCGGACGAUGUUAAUUUUUUAAUGACUCGUUCGGCGCC